RNAcentral lists this signal recognition particle RNA (99 nucleotides) under Acidobacteriota bacterium. RNAcentral's name for it is "Acidobacteria bacterium (bioreactor metagenome) signal recognition particle sRNA small type". It matches the Rfam family "Bacterial small signal recognition particle RNA". From Rfam's summary of the family: The signal recognition particle (SRP) is a universally conserved ribonucleoprotein involved in the co-translational targeting of proteins to membranes. Archaeal SRP consists of a 7S RNA and homologues of the eukaryotic SRP19 and SRP54 proteins. In most bacteria, the SRP consists of a 4.5S RNA and the Ffh protein (a homologue of the eukaryotic SRP54 protein). Lineage: Bacteria; Pseudomonadati; Acidobacteriota. The record is from RNAcentral.
GCUCGGGUCCCGCGCGACGAUCCCCUUCGAAUCGUGUCAGGUCCGGAAGGAAGCAGCACUCAGGAGGUCAGAUCGGGCGCCGCGGAUCACCCGGGCUCA